GAUUACUUUGCACCCCUGAGGAGACACAUUUUCACCUCCGCACCUGGAAAAAAGGUGAGAUUGAGACUUCAUACGGAAACGAAGUGUAUACAUUGUAGAAUAUGAAUGUAAAUAGAAAUAUAUUGCUGUUGAUAUUAUAGUUCUUGAAACAAAUCAUAUUAACUUAAUUGAAUAUCAGAAAAAAACACUCCCAGCAAAAGGAAAUGAAGAACGAGAUUGUUGUUAAACACAACAUGAGGCUUUGUUUUGUAGGAACAUCAUGAUGAAGCUGUUGGUGCUCACGCUGUGCCUGCUGGUCACCACCUUGGCUUCUCCGUAAGUCUUUCCUAAAGAAAACUUAAACGUAAUUUAGUCAGUCGACUGGUUGUCUUUCACGGUUUAAACACUGUUUUGCUUUAGAGAAGAACGCAUGAAGUCAUUGUUGCUUUCUCUUUUCUCCCGCUUGGUUUGCAGGUUGCGGAGAGUGACAGCAAUGAGGAAAAACAAGCUGCAGCGCAUGCUAACAAGGCCCUGAGGUGGAUGGAGAUGUACAGGCUGCACCAGCAGCAGAGAUUAGUUGGAACCCCCUUCAUGCCAGUUACUGAUGCUCCUGUUGAUGCUGCACCAGUCCAGGCUGCUGGCGUCCCUCCUGCUGCUGCCCAAGCUGUCGGAGACGCAUCGGAGGAGGAGACAGAGGCUGGCAACCCUGCACCCAAAGACGCCGUCCCCCUAAGCUCUGAUGAGGUCGAGGAGGCCGAGGAGGUUGAGGAGGUUGAGGAGGUGGAGGCAGCUGAGGCUGAACCUGCAGCAGCUGUUGAGCUGGCCGUGGUUGACGCCCCAGUGGACGCUGCAGCCGCUGAAGCUACAGUUGUGGACGUGCCUCCUGUUGACGCGGUUCUCGUUGACGCUGUCCCUGCAGCCCCUGAGGUGGCUGUUGAUGCGGCCGCCCCGGCCGCUGCUGACGUCCCUGUUGCUGCUACUGCUGAUGCCGCUGCCGUUGAUGCCGCUGCUGCCGUCCCUGCUGCUGCCGGUAUCGUUGAUGCCGCUGCCGUUGAUGUCGUUGCCGUUGAUGCCACUGAUGCCGGUGUUGUUGAUGCCGUUGAUGCCGGUGCCGCUGAUGCCGCUGCUGCUGAUGCCGCUGCUGCCUCACUGGCAGCUGAGAUUGACACAACUGGAGUGGCAGCAGAUCCUGUUGCAGUGUAGUUCCUUCUUGUCAUCCCCAGCCUCUUUUCCUAGCAGUGGAAACAGCCACUGUGUGUGUGUGUGUGUGUGUGUGUGCAGUGCAAAAGUAAGCUGUGUCACAUUGAUUCAUCAAGAAUGAACAACAAGUUGUGUGUUUUUAGUUAAGAAUUGGACAAUUAAAACAUUUUGUUGUGUUGUUUUUUCUGUCUUUAAUAAAAAUACUUUUUGAAAAUCUUAGUAGUUUGAAUUCAGUUGUGAUUGUUUAGUCAGACA
Molecule: long non-coding RNA, 1434 nt
Organism: Gasterosteus aculeatus aculeatus (three-spined stickleback)
Lineage: Eukaryota; Metazoa; Chordata; Actinopteri; Perciformes; Gasterosteidae
Source: Ensembl